Molecule: ribosomal RNA, 626 nt
Filed under: uncultured bacterium
Lineage: Bacteria
Description: bacterial SSU rRNA
Rfam family: Bacterial small subunit ribosomal RNA
Source: RNAcentral
CCUACGGGAGGCAGCAGUAGGGAAUCUUCCGCAAUGGACGAAAGUCUGACGGAGCAACGCCGCGUGAACGAUGAAGGCCUUCGGGUCGUAAAGUUCUGUUGUUAGGGAAGAACAAGUGCUAGUUAAAUAAGCUGGCACCUUGACGGUACCUAACCAGAAAGCCACGGCUAACUACGCGCCAGCAGCCGCGGUAAUACGUAGGUGGCAAGCGUUGUCCGGAAUUAUUGGGCGUAAAGCGCGCGCAGGCGGUUUCUUAAGUCUGAUGUGAAAGCCCCCGGCUCAACCGGGGAGGGUCAUUGGAAACUGGGAAACUUGAGUGCAGAAGAGGAAAGUGGAAUUCCAAGUGUAGCGGUGAAAUGCGUAGAGAUUUGGAUGAACACCAGUGGCGAAGGCGACUUUCUGGUCUGUAACUGACGCUGAGGCGCGAAAGCGUGGGGAGCAAACAGGAUUAGAUACCCUGGUAGUCCACGCUGUAAACGAUGAGUGCUAAGUGUUAGAGGGUUUCCGCCCUUUAGNGCUGAAGUUAACGCAUUAAGCACUCCGCCUGGGGAUACGGUCGCAAGACUGAAACCUUAAAGAGUAAGUCGGACGUGAGAGACGCGACGACGACGACGACGGAGGAGGAG